CAGUCGCCACGGUAAUGCGUAGGGUGCAAGCGUUAAUCGGAAUUACUGGGCGUAAAGCGUGCGCGGGCGGUUUGUUAAGACAGAUGUGAAAUCCCCGGGCUCAACCUGGGAACUGCAUUUGUGACUGGCAAGCUAGAGUGUGGCAGAGGGGGGUGGAAUUCCGCGUGUAGCAGUGAAAUGCGUAGAUAUGCGGAGGAACACCGAUGGCGAAGGCAGCCCCCUGGGCCAACACUGACGCUCAUGCACGAAAGCGUGGGGAGCAAACAGGAUUAGAUACCCCUGUAGUCCCUGUCUCUUAUAC
This 301-nucleotide ribosomal RNA is filed under the name uncultured bacterium. RNAcentral describes it as "partial 16S ribosomal RNA". It matches the Rfam family "Bacterial small subunit ribosomal RNA", at positions 509 to 807 of the family's 1533-position model. The record is from RNAcentral.